This 481-nucleotide ribosomal RNA is filed under the name uncultured bacterium. Its description in RNAcentral is "partial 16S ribosomal RNA". It matches the Rfam family "Bacterial small subunit ribosomal RNA", at positions 28 to 507 of the family's 1533-position model. The record is from RNAcentral.
GAUGAACGCUGGCGGCGUGCUUAACACAUGCAAGUCGAACGAAGCACUUUAUUUGAUUUCCUUCGGGACUGAUUAUUUUGUGACUGAGUGGCGGACGGGUGAGUAACGCGUGGGUAACCUGCCUUGUACAGGGGGAUAACAGUUGGAAACGGCUGCUAAUACCGCAUAAGCGCACGGCAUCGCAUGAUGCAGUGUGAAAAGCUCCGGUGGUAUAAGAUGGACCCGCGUUGGAUUAGCUAGUUGGUGAGGUAACGGCCCACCAAGGCGGCGAUCCAUAGCCGACCUGAGAGGGUGACCGGCAACAUUGGGACUGAGACACUGCCCAAACUCCUACGGGAGGCAGCAGUGGGGAAUAUUGCACAAUGGGCGAAAGCCUGAUGCAGCGACGCCGCGGGAGCGAAGAAGUAUUUCGGUAUGUAAAGCUCUAUCAGAAGGGAAGAUAAUGACGGUACCUGACGAAGAAGCACCGGCUAAAUACGUG